GAUGAACGCUGGCGGCGUGCCUAAUACAUGCAAGUCGAGCGAACAGACGAGGAGCUUGCUCCUCUGACGUUAGCGGCGGACGGGUGAGUAACACGUGGAUAACCUACCUAUAAGACUGGGAUAACUUCGGGAAACCGGAGCUAAUACCGGAUAAUAUAUUGAACCGCAUGGUUCAAUAGUGAAAGACGGUUUUGCUGUCACUUAUAGAUGGAUCCGCGCCGCAUUAGCUAGUUGGUAAGGUAACGGCUUACCAAGGCGACGAUGCGUAGCCGACCUGAGAGGGUGAUAGGCCACACUGGAACUGAGACACGGUCCAGACUACUACGGGAGGCAGCAGUAGGGAAUCUUCCGCAAUGGGCGAAGGCCUGACGGAGCAACGCCGCGUGAGUGAUGAAGGUCUUCGGAUCGUAAAACUCUGUUAUUAGGGAAGAACAAAUGUGUAAGUAACUAUGCACGUCUUGACGGUAACUAAUCAGAAAGCCACGGCUAACUACGUG
This 497-nucleotide ribosomal RNA is filed under the name uncultured bacterium. RNAcentral describes it as "partial 16S ribosomal RNA". It matches the Rfam family "Bacterial small subunit ribosomal RNA", at positions 28 to 507 of the family's 1533-position model. The record is from RNAcentral.